Molecule: long non-coding RNA, 878 nt
Organism: Rattus rattus (black rat)
Lineage: Eukaryota; Metazoa; Chordata; Mammalia; Rodentia; Muridae
Exons: 3
Source: RefSeq, a predicted model, not a curated record
UGAUGACGUGGACGCUUUGAUGACUUUGACUUCACAAGGACAGACCAUGGUGACUUCAUUAUCAUCAUCAUCAUCCCUAAUCUCUGAACUGACCAAGUCUUACUAAAAGCUAAAGUAAGACCUUACUAAAUCGGACUCCGGUGGCACGCUGGUAAUCUCAGUACUUGAGACCAAGGGAGGAGGAUCAGGUGUUCGAUACCUUCCUGAACUACAUAGCGAGUCUCUUUCUCAAAAGCGGGGAGGGAGGGUUGUUGUUGGGUUUUUUGUUUUGUUUUCUUUUAGUGAGACCUCUGCUAGAGUUUCUCUAUUCUAAGCCAUGACCCACCUUUUGUGAGCUUUAAGCUCAUAGGACCUUAUUUCAAAAUUACUUUUCAAAAGGAAGUUUGUUGGGAAAUGCUUUUAUUCAUACUUGACAUAUUGUGACAAUACAAUUUGCCAUGACUGAAUAGUUUUCUCACAAAUCCUACAGAUGGAGACCCUGCCAAGCCUUUCAGCUAUCUACUUCCUGAGCAAUGAAGCCUGAGGUAAUGAGCUUUUAGAUUUAAACCAGAUUAGAUCUAAGAUGAAUGUGACCAUUGCUGUCUUGAAUCAGCCACAGGAGAGGUUCAUGGAACUAGGCCUAUUAAUAUCCCCUCAUGAGGAGAAGGUCCAUAUUCAGGAGCAAGUUGACCAGGACUUUUCCAUUAUUGAAGCUUCCCAUAAGUGACCCAAGGACUCCUCAGUGGUGUGGGUUCUUUGUGAAUCAUCCCUGCUACAGGUGAGACUUUUAAUUUGGUAUAGUUGCCCAUUAAACUGCCCAAGGGACUUCCUGGUGAUGUAACUGCCUUGAGUCACCCAUGUACCUAUCAGUGGCCUCAAUAAACUCAAUGGUUCACCAA